RNAcentral lists this ribosomal RNA (506 nucleotides) under uncultured bacterium. RNAcentral describes it as "partial 16S ribosomal RNA". It matches the Rfam family "Bacterial small subunit ribosomal RNA", at positions 29 to 523 of the family's 1533-position model. The record is from RNAcentral.
AGUGAACGCUGGCGGUAGGCCUAACACAUGCAAGUCGAACGGCAGCACAGAGGAGCUUGCUCCUUGGGUGGCGAGUGGCGGACGGGUGAGGAAUACAUCGGAAUCUACUCUGUCGUGGGGGAUAACGUAGGGAAACUUACGCUAAUACCGCAUACGACCUACGGGUGAAAGCAGGGGACCUUCGGGCCUUGCGCGAUUGAAUGAGCCGAUGUCGGAUUAGCUAGUUGGCGGGGUAAAGGCCCACCAAGGCGACGAUCCGUAGCUGGUCUGAGAGGAUGAUCAGCGACGCUGGAACUGAGACACGGUCCAGACUCCUACGGGAGGCAGCAGUGGGGAAUAUUGGACAAUGGGCGCAAGCCUGAUCCAGCCAUACCGCGUGGGGGAAGAAGGCCUUCGGGUUGUAAAGCCCUUUUGUUGGGAAAGAAAUCCAGCUGGCUAAUACCCGGUUGGGAUGACGGUACCCAAAGAAUAAGCACCGGCUAACUUCGUGCCAGCCGCCGCAGUAA